AAGUAGGUCGGGACACGUGUUAUCUUGACUGAAGAUAGGGGGACCAUCCUCUAAGGCUAAAUACUACCAACUGACCGAUAGUGAACCAGUACCGUGAGGGAAAGGCGAAAAGAACCCCUGUGAGGGGAGUGAAAUAGAACCUGAAACCGUGUACGUACAAGCAGUGGGAGCACGCUUAGGCGUGUGACUGCGUACCUUUUGUAUAAUGGGUCAGCGACUUAUUUUCAGUGGCGAGCUUAACCGAAUAGGGGAGGCGUAGCGAAAGCGAGUCUUAAUAGGGCGUCUAGUCGCUGGGAAUAGACCCGAAACCGGGCGAUCUAUCCAUGGGCAGGUUGAAGGUUGGGUAACACUAACUGGAGGACCGAACCCACUGUCGUUGAA
RNAcentral lists this ribosomal RNA (381 nucleotides) under Chaetoceros affinis. RNAcentral's name for it is "partial Bacterial large subunit ribosomal RNA". It matches the Rfam family "Bacterial large subunit ribosomal RNA", at positions 410 to 793 of the family's 2925-position model. The record is from RNAcentral. Lineage: Eukaryota; Bacillariophyta; Thalassiosirophyceae; Chaetocerotales; Chaetocerotaceae.